UACGGAAGGCAGCAGUGGGGAAUAUUGCACAAUGGGCGCAAGCCUGAUGCAGCCAUGCCGCGUGUAUGAAGAAGGCCUUCGGGUUGUAAAGUACUUUCAGUCGUGAGGAAGGUGUUAAGGUUAAUAACCUUAGCAAUUGACGUUAGCGACAGAAGAAGCACCGGCUAACUCCGUGCCAGCAGCCGCGGUAAUACGGAGGGUGCGAGCGUUAAUCGGAAUUACUGGGCGUAAAGGGCACGCAGGCGGUUAAUUAAGUUGGAUGUGAAAUCCCCGGGCUUAACCUGGGAAUGGCAUUCAAGACUGGUUUAGCUAGAGUCUUGUAGAGGGGGUAGAAUUCCAUGUGUAGCGGUGAAAUGCGUAGAGAUGUGGAGGAAUACCGGUGGCGAAGGCGGCCCCUGGCAAAAGACUGACGCUCAUGUGCGAAAGCGUGGGGAGCAAACAGGAUUAGAUACC
Molecule: ribosomal RNA, 453 nt
Filed under: uncultured bacterium
Lineage: Bacteria
Description: bacterial SSU rRNA
Rfam family: Bacterial small subunit ribosomal RNA
Source: RNAcentral